UUGUCUCAAAGAUUAAGCCAUGCAUGUCUCAGUACAAGCCAAAUUAAGGUGAAACCGCGAAAGGCUCAUUAAAUCAGUUAUGGUUCCUUAGAUCGUACCCACAUUUACUUGGAUAACUGUGGUAAUUCUAGAGCUAAUACAUGCAAACAGAGCUCCAACCGGAAACGGGAGGAGUGCUUUUAUUAGAUCAAAACCAAUCGGUGUCGGUUUCGGCCGGCUAUCGUUCAAUUUGGUGAUUCUGAAUAACUUUAUGCUGAUCGCACGGUCUUGCACCGGCGACGCAUCUUUCAAAUGUCUGACUUAUCAACUGUCGAUGGUAGGCUCUGCGCCUACCAUGGUUGUAACGGGUAACGGGGAAUCAGGGUUCGAUUCCGGAGAGGGAGCCUGAGAAACGGCUACCACAUCCAAGGAAGGCAGCAGGCGCGCAAAUUACCCACUCCCGGCACGGGGAGGUAGUGACGAAAAAUAACGAUACGGGACUCAUCCGAGGCCCCGUAAUCGGAAUGAGUACACUUUAAAUCCUUUAACGAGGAUCAAUUGGAGGGCAAGUCUGGUGCCAGCAGCCGCGGUAAUUCCAGCUCCAAUAGCGUAUAUUAAAGUUGUUGCGGUUAAAAAGCUCGUAGUCGAAUUUGUGUUUCGCGCCGCUGGUUCAUCGUUCGCGGUGUUAACUGGCGUGACGCGAAACGUCCUGCCGGUGGACUUAGUGCAACUUUCUUUGGUGGUAGCGUUGGCAUUCACGUGCUGGCGUCACUCACCUUGAUCGUAGUGCGGUCCAAAUUAAUCCUGUUGCGGUGCUCUUCAUUGAGUGUCGCAGUGGGCCGGCACGUUUACUUUGAACAAAUUAGAGUGCUUAAAGCAGGCUAAAACUUUGCCUGAAUAUUGUGUGCAUGGAAUAAUGGAAUAGGACCUCGGUUCUAUUUUGUUGGUUUUCGGAACUCCGAGGUAAUGAUUAAUAGGAACGGAUGGGGGCAUUCGUAUUGCGACGUUAGAGGUGAAAUUCUUGGACCGUCGCAAGACGGACAGAAGCGAAAGCAUUUGCCAAAAACGCUUUCAUUGAUCAAGAACGAAAGUUAGAGGUUCGAAGGCGAUCAGAUACCGCCCUAGUUCUAACCAUAAACGAUGCCAGCUAGCGAUCCGCCGACGUUCCUCCGAUGACUCGGCGGGCAGCUUCCGGGAAACCAAAGCUUUUGGGUUCCGGGGGAAGUAUGGUUGCAAAGCUGAAACUUAAAGGAAUUGACGGAAGGGCACCACCAGGAGUGGAGCCUGCGGCUUAAUUUGACUCAACACGGGAAACCUCACCAGGCCCAGACACCGGAAGGAUUGACAGAUUGAGAGCUCUUUCUUGAUUCGGUGGGUGGUGGUGCAUGGCCGUUCUUAGUUGGUGGAGCGAUUUGUCUGGUUAAUUCCGAUAACGAACGAGACUCUAGCCUGCUAAAUAGGCGCAAUACGACAUCUUAAUUGCCCGCCUGCCUUCGUGUGUGUAGUCUUUCGGGGCUGCAUGCGCGUUGGUUUGGUUGUGGUUUUUACUGUCGGCGUACAAAUAAUUCUUCUUAGAGGGACAGGCGGCUUCUAGCCGCACGAAACGGAGCAAUAACAGGUCUGUGAUGCCCUUAGAUGUUCUGGGCCGCACGCGCGCUACACUGAAGGAAUCAACGUGUCUUCCCUGGCCGAACGGCCCGGGUAACCCGCUGAACCUCCUUCGUGCUAGGGAUUGGGGCUUGCAAUUGUUCCCCAUGAACGAGGAAUUCCCAGUAAGCGCGAGUCAUAAGCUCGCGUUGAUUACGUCCCUGCCCUUUGUACACACCGCCCGUCGCUACUACCGAUUGAAUGAUUUAGUGAGGUCUUCGGAUUGGUACGCGGUGGCGUUUCGACGUUGCCGAUGUCACUGAAAAGAUGACCAAACUUGAUCAUUU
This 1913-nucleotide ribosomal RNA is filed under the name Microscapha sp. UPOL ZL0149. Its description in RNAcentral is "SSU rRNA". It matches the Rfam family "Eukaryotic small subunit ribosomal RNA". The record is from RNAcentral. Lineage: Eukaryota; Metazoa; Arthropoda; Insecta; Coleoptera; Melandryidae.